This is a long non-coding RNA of Corvus hawaiiensis (hawaiian crow), 952 nucleotides long. RefSeq lists it as uncharacterized. The record is from RefSeq and is a predicted model, not a curated record. The transcript has 2 exons. Lineage: Eukaryota; Metazoa; Chordata; Aves; Passeriformes; Corvidae.
UCCCUCCCCGGUGCCUCCCCCGGUGCCUCCCCCGGUCCCUCCCCGGUGCCUCCCCGGUGCCUCCGAGCGCUGCCGGAGGGGGAAUUGUGGCCGCUCCGGCCCCUUGCCUGCUGUCCCCUCGGUCGGGAUGGCGGGGGCACAUCCCUGGUGGCAGUCUGGGUUGGGAGGGACCUUAAGGACCGUCCGUUUUCACGCUGGACACGGGCGGGGACACCUUCCGCUAUCCCGGGGUGCUCCAACCUGGCCUUGGAUGCUCCCAGGGAUGGGGCAGCCACAGCUGCUCUGGGCACCCUGUGCCUCCCCACGCUCGCAGACAGUUUGUAACCCUUUUUCCUAAAAUUACUGCUUUUUUUUCCCCCAUUUCCCCCCAGUUUUCUCUGCAGCAGCUUUUACUCAGUCUCCAGACCCACCUUCUCUCUCCCGCUCCAGUUUCCCGGAGUUUUCCCCUGAGUUUUCCCCAGGUAAUGCAUCUCUUUUCCUCCCUCGAGGUCACACCUUUCCACCUCCAGGGCCUGGGAUGGGGACUCCAGCAGAGAAGCACAGCAAGGCCUGGCCUCAAAUCAUCUCCUGCUCAUCUCUCUACCCAAAUUCCUGCCUCCCUGGGAAUUUCCUGCCUGCACAGCGCUGGGAAAGCUGGGACAAGGUCCAGGUCUUUCCUAUAUUUGGGGCUCCAGAAGUGGAUAUUCCACAUGUUUGAUGCACAUUUUUAUCCAUCUGGGACAGAUGCAGGAUAUUGAUAUGGAAAGAUGGUGGAGGAAAAAUACGUGAUUGCUCGAUGAGGAAAUCCAGGCCAGAACUUUCAUUCCUUCUGGAAUCAUCUGUAUUUAACCAUUAAAAUAAAAUGGAUUUGGGCUCAGGUGGGGGAAAUAUUUGGUCCAAGUUCAAAAUCAGGUUCAGCAGGGGAAAAACUUACACAUAAUUAUUAUUUCUCAAUAAAAAAUAAUAUGAAUCA